Molecule: ribosomal RNA, 464 nt
Filed under: uncultured bacterium
Lineage: Bacteria
Description: partial 16S ribosomal RNA
Rfam family: Bacterial small subunit ribosomal RNA
Source: RNAcentral
ACGAACGCUGGCGGCGUGCUUAACACAUGCAAGUCGAACGGAAAGGCCCCUUUGGGGGUACUCGAGUGGCGAACGGGUGAGUAACACGUGAGUAACCUGCCCUUGACUUCGGGAUAACUUCAGGAAACUGGGGCUAAUACCGGAUAGGAAUCCUUGCUGCAUGGUGGGGGUUGGAAAGCUUCGGCGGUUUUGGAUGGACUCGCGGCUUAUCAGCUUGUUGGUGGGGUAGUGGCUUACCAAGGCUUUGACGGGUAGCCGGCCUGAGAGGGCGACCGGCCACAUUGGGACUGAGAUACGGCCCAGACGCCUACGGGAGGCAGCAGUGGGGAAUAUUGCACAAUGGGCGGAAGCCUGAUGCAGCAACGCCGCGUGCGGGAUGACGGCCUUCGGGUUGUAAACCGCUUUCAGCAGGGGCGAAGCUUGUGGUGACGGUACCUGCAGAAGAAGCACCGGCUAACUACGUG